RNAcentral lists this ribosomal RNA (433 nucleotides) under uncultured bacterium. RNAcentral's name for it is "partial 16S ribosomal RNA". It matches the Rfam family "Bacterial small subunit ribosomal RNA", at positions 29 to 507 of the family's 1533-position model. The record is from RNAcentral.
AACGAACGCUGGCGGCAUGCCUAACACAUGCAAGUCGAACGAGACCUUCGGGUCUAGUGGCGCACGGGUGCGUAACGCGUGGGAACCUGCCUUUAGGUUCGGAAUAACUCAGAGAAAUUUGAGCUAAUACCGGAUGAUGUCUUCGGACCAAAGAUUUAUCGCCUUUAGAUGGGCCCGCGUUGGAUUAGCUAGUUGGUGGGGUAAAGGCCUACCAAGGCGACGAUCCAUAGCUGGUCAGAGAGGAUGAUCAGCCACACUGGGACUGAGACACGGCCCAGACUCCUACGGGAGGCAGCAGUGGGGAAUAUUGGACAAUGGGCGAAAGCCUGAUCCAGCAAUGCCGCGUGAGUGAUGAAGGCCUUAGGGUUGUAAAGCUCUUUUACCCGAGAUGAUAAUGACAGUAUCGGGAGAAUAAGCUCCGGCUAACUCCGUG